AAAGGAUUCCAGUAGCUUACCAUUGAACUUCACUGAAUAAUGGACAGAGGAUACACACGCCAUAACGCGAGAGACCCAGAGCUGGGAGAAACCCCAUUUGAGCAGGGCCCUCUCAAGAAAAUCCCAGUCUACUCAGUCAUAUGCCUUCGAGAGGUCAAGCUUGUAAGCACACAGAGCCGGUGAAUUUUCCUUAACAGAUUGUAUAUGGUGGAUACAUU
Molecule: long non-coding RNA, 218 nt
Filed under: Hordeum vulgare
Lineage: Eukaryota; Viridiplantae; Streptophyta; Magnoliopsida; Poales; Poaceae
Description: long non-coding RNA (HVUL_LNC002927)
Source: RNAcentral